CAUGCAAGUCGAGCGGCAGCACGGGGGCAACCCUGGUGGCGAGCGGCGGACGGGUGAGGAACACAUCGGAAUCUACCCUGUCGUGGGGGACAACGUAGGGAAACUUACGCUAAUACCGCAUGAUCUGGAGACAGCAAAGCCGGGGACCUUCGGGCCUGGCGCGAUGGGAUGAGCCGAUGUCCGAUUAGCUAGUUGGCGGGGUAAGAGCCCACCAAGGCGACGAUCGGUAGCUGGUCUGAGAGGACGACCAGCCACACUGGAACUGAGACACGGUCCAGACUCCUACGGGAGGCAGCAGUGGGGAAUAUUGGACAAUGGGGGCAACCCUGAUCCAGCCAUGCCGCGUGGGUGAAGAAGGCCUUCGGGUUGUAAAGCCCUUUUGUACGGGAAGAAAAGCCGUCGGUGAACAUCCGGCGGUGCUGACGGUACCGUAAGAAUAAGCACCGGCUAACUUCGUGCCAGCAGCCGCGGUAAUACGAAGGGUGCAAGCGUUACUCGGAAUUACUGGGCGUAAAGCGUGCGUAGGUGGUGGUUUAAGUCUGAUGUGAAAUCCCCGGGCUCAACCUGGGAAUGGCAUUGGAUACUGGAUCGCUAGAGUGCGGUAGAGGGUGGUGGAAUUCCCGGUGUAGCAGUGAAAUGCGUAGAGAUCGGGAGGAACAUCUGUGGCGAAGGCGGCCACCUGGACCAGCACUGACACUGAGGCACGAAAGCGUGGGGAGCAAACAGGAUUAGAUACUCUGGUAGUCCACGCCCUAAACGAUGCGAACUGGAU
Molecule: ribosomal RNA, 772 nt
Filed under: uncultured bacterium
Lineage: Bacteria
Description: bacterial SSU rRNA
Rfam family: Bacterial small subunit ribosomal RNA
Source: RNAcentral